This is a long non-coding RNA of Numida meleagris (helmeted guineafowl), 3219 nucleotides long. RefSeq lists it as uncharacterized. The record is from RefSeq and is a predicted model, not a curated record. Lineage: Eukaryota; Metazoa; Chordata; Aves; Galliformes; Numididae. The transcript is spliced from 3 exons.
AUGAUGCACAUGUCACUCAGGGCCUGUGCUUGCUCAGACGACACCUCCAUUAAGGCUUCAGAAGAGAGAUUUUCCUGCCUAGAGGUCAUGUGGAGUCUGCAGUGAGACUGGUGUGUAGUGUGGGGCAUGGCUAAGCACAGGACCAUUCACAAAAGGCACUGUGUUAAGAAGAAUACAUAUGAAGAGAAAGCAGCUCAUGGCCAAUGACUCUCCUCACGAGUGCAGGCAUUAAAGAGAAACUAGAAUCAGGUCUAUAGCUCUGUUCUUUGCAGAGGCAAACAGCAUAUGAAGGAAGAGUGACCAUAUGUCAUUGGAUCCUUUUUCAUUUUUAAGAGGGGAUGGUACUUGUAAAGAGUACAAUUGAAUGACAUGGUUGGGGCAUGCCUCAGGAAAAUGCAGUCUUCUGUGCAAAGAAAAGGAAAAAAGAAGAGCUUCAUUUAGACAUUUAUGUCCUCUGCUUACAUUUAAAAAGCAAAAACAAAGCCAAACUCUGUCUAGUUGUGAAGAUAUUUUGACUAAAUGAAGUUUGAUUUGUUUCAGCAGUCUAAAGAAGGUUCCAAAACUGAAUAUCACUGUGUACUUCUUUGUGUGUGACACGGCCUUCACCAAUACCUUUCUUAUGUUUGAUUUGCAGCCAGUAUUUUAAAACUUCACCAGCCAGCUUGUUUCCAGAUUUUAUAUUUUUACAAAGAGUUUUUUGUCUUCAAGCAAGCAAAUACACAAAUGUUCCUGUUACUCUUCCUGUCUGAAAUGUGCAGAAGAAGGGUGCAAGUGAUCAGCAAUAAGCUGUAAAGCCUUAACUGCCAGUAGUUACUUUAUGGUCUUGUAACACAUUCAGUUUGAUGCUCGUUCCUCCAUAACUGUCACAGUCCUGCAGCUCUACAGAACUUCUCACUGGUUGGCACUUUUGAAUGGCUGAGUGUAAAAAGGCCUUGUGCAACACAUUGUCCUCUGGAAUCCAUGUAGGAAAGGAACAUUUUGGCAUUGGUUAAGGUCAGGCUACAGAUCUUUAUUAUGUCUGGCUCAGGGGCUGACUUCAUGUGUAUAACCAAGAUUCACCAGCAUAAAAUUUCAACAAUCUUUUUCACAUUCAUUUCAGGACAAGACCAGGCCCCAGUGUAUUGGGUGAAGGAAGAAGCCCUUCCUCUAGACAAGAUGAUGCUCAGCUGGCCCCGGCUGAGCAUUGUAAAAGAGUUCUUUUCCCAUCUCUCUAAGCAAUUGCCUCUAAGUGUGAGAUUAUUUGUUUUUGUAAGGUACAAGCAUUUUACCUUGUUGCCUGCCUUGAGAAGAAGUAAGAAAUGAGUAGGUAAGGGCACAGUUGUGUUUCAGGGAAUCAUAGCUCUGAUCUCAUCACUGGCACAGGCUUGCUGCAGUAAAUCUGCAAAAAUAACUGAAAACCCCUCAGAAUCAGAGCACCUGGGCUUGACUGGGCUUUGGACAUUCACUGUAAGUGAUUUUCUGCCAGUCUAGCUGAUGUGGUCAUCACAAUUUCUUCUGACUGCCUUGACACCUCUUCUGGUUCAUAUGACUUGAAUAUAGAUUGGAAGGACUUUCCAAUAUGCGGUAUUAUGACUAAACAGCUUUACUGGAGCAGCAGUUUUGGAUCAACAUUCCUGGAUAAUCCCAUGAGUAGACAAUUUUGCUGUGCAAUAUUAAUAUCUACAUGUAGAAUUAAACAGAAAUAGUUACUGUGUUUAGUUUCCUACAUGCAUUUGUGCCAAAAUAAUUUUAAAGUGUAGAUGAUCCCUAAGAGAUUACAUAUGCACCCAGAGGAGGAAAUACAUUCCUCUAUUAUAAGGCUGAAUUUGUAAAAUUUAAGGAACACGUCAUAUAAAUGGAAUGGACAGAAAUCUGUUACUAAAUGGGAAUUGAAGAAUACAAUUAAGUGCAUCAUCAAAGGACUAAGGCCUUUAGUCCUUAAUAUUGGUUUCAGUGUUCAUACCUAUGAGCAUCCAUGAGAUCUCCCAGCAACGGGAUUGUAUAUUUGCAUAUAUAGCUUCUUCCUCUGAGUUAUAGCUUGGAAUUAUUUUUUUAUGAUAUAUAUUAAAGUUAUUCUGCUUCUCAGACUUUAGUUAUUGAAUAAAUUACGAGUGAAAGAAGAUGGUGGAAAUUACAGCUAGAGAGGCAAUUUAUUUAUUUUUUAAAUGCUUCCGCACAAUUUAAAAUUGAUUUGUGGUAACUGAGACACUUGAGCAGAUGAAUAUGAAGGUGGCAUAACUUUCUCAUGCUUGCUCGUAUUUUCGGAUAAACUUCCUGGAAAAGUUUUAGUUCAUCACUCUUCCAGGAUCUUGAAGUCUGACCAAGAAACCUGCCAAAGUAAUAAGAAGUUCAUGCUGAAACAAUGUUAUCAGAUAGGAAAAGUUAAUGCUACUGUUAUCUACAGGUCAGCUAAGGUGUAAGUUCUCACAGCAGUUCUCUGACAUAAUAGAUUUGCUUCCUUACUAUGGAAAUAAUGCUUUUGCUACUAUUCUUAACAGAAACAAAAUCAGUUUCUGAUUCAACUACUUCCAUUUAUUAGAGAAAAAACUUUUUAGAGCUAGAGAAUAAGUAACAGCAUAUCAACAGUUUUGGUUAUUUUCCUCUGUGAACUGUCUCAAAAACAAAACAAAACAAACAAAAAGAACAACAAAUUAUUUGCUGAGACUAUUUUAUUUUCUUAGUUUGCUUGCUACGUUGAAUUUUGCAACUAUUUAUAUCUCAUAUAGAGCUUCUCUGAAGUAUUUGAGUUGUGCUGAUAGCAUUUGUUCUUACAGAAUAAAAACAUUUAUUUUUACACACAGAAGUUUCAUUGUCUUCAUUGAGUGAAUAACUGUCAGACUUGUUUUCAAUGUUGACACAAUCAAACAUUUGUGUCCUUGAUUAUUCUUUGCUAUUAAGUAAUGCAUCUAAUAUUACAUCUCUUUCUUGGUGGACACAAAUGGUAGCAAAUUUAUUCACCAGAAAAAGUAUUCACCAUAAAGCCAGACAAACUUACUACAUAAUGAAUUCAGUUUUAUCUGAGUGUCUACAUAGGCAAACUAAUUCACAGUAAGUCUGUACCUCUACUAGCAGUACUAAUUCUGUCUCAACACAGUGCAUGUGUCUCUAUGGAGUUCAGUCAUGUUUAGCUGAAGUCGCGCUAAAUAUUUAAGGAUAUCUAUGAGGGCUGCUCUGAAAGUAAUACUUUCUAUUUUAUUAUGUUGGCCCAUGAUAUCAGAGGCAGAUGUUGGUGGUGUUGCA